CGCACCUUGCGCUCCUUGGUAUUCCGAGGAGCAUGCCUGUUUGAGUGUCAUGAAACUCUCAACUGCCCUAGGCUCUUGUGGUCUACGGGUGAGGUUGGACUUGGAGGUCUGCUGGCGCAGCUACAUGCUUGUCGGCUCCUCUUGAAUGCAUGAGCUUUCCAAUCCUUGGCAGAGUAUCGUCGAUGUGAUAAUUAUCUACGUCGUCUGAGAAAGCCGGUGGGGGAAACCUUUGAUCACGCUGGGUCUUUAAGCCCACGUAUGAUAAAUUCGACCUCAAAUCAGGUAGGACUACCCGCUGAACUUAA
Molecule: unclassified non-coding RNA, 305 nt
Filed under: Tomentellopsis submollis
Lineage: Eukaryota; Fungi; Basidiomycota; Agaricomycetes; Thelephorales; Thelephoraceae
Description: partial contains 5.8S ribosomal RNA, internal transcribed spacer 2, and large subunit ribosomal RNA
Source: RNAcentral